Long non-coding RNA from Triticum aestivum (bread wheat), 627 nucleotides. RefSeq lists it as uncharacterized. NCBI's taxonomy places the organism in Eukaryota, Viridiplantae, Streptophyta, Magnoliopsida, Poales, Poaceae. The transcript has 2 exons. The record is from RefSeq and is a predicted model, not a curated record.
GUCAAACUCAAAUCCAGUACGCAGCUGCAGCGCACGAACUAAAUCUCCCCCCGACGGGCGGCGGCCCCGGCCUAGAUCCUUCCUCCAAGCUGGGCGAGUUUACCUGGUGGAGGUGCUGUUCCAUCUCUCCGAUGGCUCAUCGACGUUGUGUCGCCGGUGGCCCAGUUUGAGGCGGUGCAGAUCGGAGCUCAUCGGCUGCUAAGCUUCGCCCCGUAGUGUGCUCAUCGCGGCCUUCCAUCUGAAGCUCCGGUUGCGUUGGGUUUCUUUGCCUCCUCCUCUCUCUUAGGCUCCAGAUCAGCUCGCGUCUUCUACCCCUCGUUGACGGCAAGCCAAUGUGGUUUCCUCAGCCCCUUCCCGACUGGCCGAACCUACAUGCCGUGAACACGACGGUUCAUUUUCCUGGUCUGAUCUCUCCCAGCACAAGAAGCUUGAUGAACGAGAAGCACUAGAAUUGGAGGCAAGGCUGCAGCUUUUCUGUUGUGUACCAUCAGGCUUGCCAAGUUGAUGCAUUUUCAGUGACAAUGCUUGUUGAGCUAUGAUUAUUUUAGUCAUUCAUAAUUAGUCUUGCCCGUGUUGUACCCAAAAAUGACCCUCUCAUGCAAUGUAACACUUGAUAUGCAUGUGUCU